GUGUAGAAACCUCCUGUGAUGGCCGGCAGGAUAAAACUCAGUGUUAUGGAGCUCUGGGAGGAACUCUGGUCCUGCAGUUGAUGGACAAAGUCCCAGAGAUACUGACAUUCAAAUGGUGGAACUCAAAAGGAAUGAUUCUGAUUCAGAUUAGAAACAGGCCUGUGAUGAAUAGAUUAUCAACCCGGUUAGAGUUUAUUUCCCAUAAUGGAACAUUGAGGAUAAACAGCCUGAGGAGAACUGAUGGUGGAGAAUAUAAACUUGAAAUAUUUAAUGAGGAUGGAGAGAGAACAGCAGUACGGACUCAACAGUUGAACAUCCAAGCUCCUGUGUCGACUGUCCGGCUGACGUCUGAGUGUCUGUCCCAGGGAGAGAAGAGGAUGUCCUGCUCCUCUGAUGGAGACAGUCCUCAGUACAGCUGGACUCUGGAUGGAAACACACUGACAGAUGAUCAGCUCCUCUCUGUUAAUAAUGAGACUAAUGAGAUCAUUCUGAAACAAACAGUGUCAGGACGGCUGGUGUGUUUAGUCAGGAAUCACGUCAGUGAAGCCUCAGUAACAGAGAUGAUUUCAACCUGUGGCUACAUUUUCAUUGAGUGUCAAUUAUCAAAUGGGACAAACAUAACACAGUGGGUGUUUGUAGCAGAUAACACACUGUGUAUUAUACCAACAACCACAACAACAACAACAACAACCUCAGACAAUGUUGUUAAGGAGGGUGACAUCCCAGUGUGAUGGGACUAUUGCUGAUGUUGGUCAGAGUCUCUCUGGGUGUAGAAACCUCCUGUGAUGGCCAGCAGAAUAAAACUCAGUGUUAUGGAGCUCUGGGAGGAACUCUGGUCCUGCAGUUGAUGGACAAAGUCCCAGAGAUACUGACAUUCAGAUGGAGGAACUCAAAUGUAAUAAUUCUGAGUCGGAUUGGUAAUGGACCUGUGACGAAUAGAUUAUCAAACAGGUCUGAGUUUAUUUCUCAUAAUGGAACAUUGAGGAUGAACAGCCUGAGCAGAACUGAUGGUGGUGAAUAUAAACUUGAAAUAUUUAAUGAGAAUGGAGAGAGCACAGCAGUUCGGACUCUACAGUUGAACAUCCAAGCUCCUGUGUCGACUGUCCGGCUGACGUCUGAGUGUCUGUCCCAGGGAGAGAAGAGGAUGUCCUGCUCCUCUGAUGGAGACAGUCCUCAGUACAGCUGGACUCUGGAUGGAGACACACUGACAGAUGAUCAGCUCCUCUCUGUUAAUAAUGAGACUAAUGAGAUCAUUCUGAAACAAACAGUGUCAGGACGGCUGGUGUGUUUAGUCAGGAAUCACGUCAGUGAAGCCUCAGUAACAGAGAUGAUUUCAACCUGUGGCUACAUUUUCAUUGAGUGUCAAUUAUCAAAUGGGACAAACAUAACACAGUGGGUGUUUGCAGCAAAUAACACACUGUGUAUUAAACCAACAACCACAACAACAACAACAACAACCAUAACUACAGAGAAUGUUGGUAAGGAGAGUGACAUCACAGUGUCUAAUAACCCCUCCACUAAAAUAACACCCUCCAAUCAAACAUCCUCCAAUACAGAUGGUCCAUUGUACCUUCGACCUACAACCCUGAUGGUAACUGGAAUUGUACUCUCUUUGCUGCUCAUCGGCUUGAUGGCCGCUUUUGUGAUGGUCUGUGCUCAUAAGAGAAGAGAAAGCAGCAAUGCUAGAGGAGGAAAUGAUCAAGAGUUACAGUAUGCUGACGUCAAGAGGCAGCAGCCGAGCAGAGACGUGCAACCGCAGGCAGAAAUGGGAGGAUAUGGCCAGAUCACCUUUUCAGCGCAGACCGACAAGCCACCCGCAGGUCGCGGUGCUGUCCAGAGGGGGCAAGAGGUGGAAUAUGGAGAGAUCAAGUUUGCAGAGCGGCCUCAGCAGAAAAACAGACUGAUGGGACCCUCUGGAUCCCCUCAGGGGGCGCCACAGGUGGAAUAUGGAGAGAUCAAGUUCAUCGAACGGCCCCGGAGGGCCAGGUGA
This is a long non-coding RNA of Takifugu rubripes (torafugu), 1990 nucleotides long. The record is from Ensembl. NCBI's taxonomy places the organism in Eukaryota, Metazoa, Chordata, Actinopteri, Tetraodontiformes, Tetraodontidae.